This 406-nucleotide ribosomal RNA is filed under the name uncultured bacterium. Its description in RNAcentral is "partial 16S ribosomal RNA". It matches the Rfam family "Bacterial small subunit ribosomal RNA", at positions 30 to 526 of the family's 1533-position model. The record is from RNAcentral.
AUUGAACGCUGGCGGCAGGCCUAACACAUGCAAGUCGAGCGAGCGGCGGACGGGUGAGUAAUGUCUGGGGAUCUGCCUGAUGGAGGGGGAUAACUACUGGAAACGGUAGCUAAUACCGCAUACCAUCGGAUGUACCCAUAUGGGAUUAGCUAGUUGGUGGGGUAACGGCUCACCUAGGCGACGAUCCCUAGCUGGUCUGAGAGGAUGAUAAGCCACCCUGGAACUGAGACACGGCCCAGACUCCUACGGGAGGCAGCAGUGGGGAAGAUUGCACAAUGGGCGCAAGCCUGAUGCAGCCAUGCCGCGUGUAUGAAGAAGGCCUUCGGGUUGUAAAGUACGUUCAGCGGGGAGGCGUUACCCGCAGAAGAAGCACCGGCGAACUCCGUGCCAGCCGCCGCGGUAAUAC